RNAcentral lists this small RNA (167 nucleotides) under human gut metagenome. Its description in RNAcentral is "Clostridiales-1 RNA". It matches the Rfam family "Clostridiales-1 RNA". The record is from RNAcentral.
GAUAUCAGGGUCAAAAGGUCAAAAAGUCGUUCGUGCUUGCACAAUAAGACUUUUGAACUUGGGACCCGCCAAACAUGAGAAAAUAGCAAUUUAUGCAGUAAAUCAGCGGAUUUCGAAUGUUUGAGAAUUGUGGAAGCUGCUUUGCAGCGGAGCAAUUCGUGGAUAUC